This 467-nucleotide ribosomal RNA is filed under the name uncultured bacterium. Its description in RNAcentral is "partial 16S ribosomal RNA". It matches the Rfam family "Bacterial small subunit ribosomal RNA", at positions 28 to 506 of the family's 1533-position model. The record is from RNAcentral.
GACGAACGCUGGCGGCGUGCUUAACACAUGCAAGUCGAACGGAAAGGCCCUGCUUUUGUGGGGUGCUCGAGUGGCGAACGGGUGAGUAACACGUGAGUAACCUGCCCUUGACUUUGGGAUAACUUCAGGAAACUGGGGCUAAUACCGGAUAGGAGCUCCUGCCGCAUGGUGGGGGUUGGAAAGUUUCGGCGGUUGGGGAUGGACUCGCGGCUUAUCAGCUUGUUGGUGGGGUAGUGGCUUACCAAGGCUUUGACGGGUAGCCGGCCUGAGAGGGUGACCGGCCACAUUGGGACUGAGAUACGGCCUAGACUCCUACGGGAGGCAGCGGUGGGGAAUAUUGCACAAUGGGCGGAAGCCUGAUGCAGCAACGCCGCGUGCGGGAUGACGGCCUUCGGGUUGUAAACCGCUUUCGCCUGUGACGAAGCGUGAGUGACGGUAAUGGGUAAAGAAGCACCGGCUAACUACGU